CCAGGGGAGAAACCUUCAAUGCUGCAAGUGUAGCAGAAGUAAGAGAGAUGAAGAGAGGAAAUGAGUUUGGUGAAGAGGAAGCAAGUGCUUUGGAGAGGAAUGAUAACAGCGAAAAUUUCAGGAGUAGGAUUUCUGACGAACCGAUGGCAAAAAUGCAGGGGAGGCUAGAGAUUUCUCAAACUCUUUGGUGGGUUCCAGCAUUCCCUAAAAUGAAGGCAAUCCAGCAAGAUUCUGUUGCUAUGGGAACCUGUCCACUUAAACUUGAGACCAUGUGCACCGUGGAUGUCCUGAAAGUGACGCCACAUGGCCAGAUCAUGCCUGUGGAUAGAGAAGAGAAUCAAGACCUUGU
Long non-coding RNA from Paramisgurnus dabryanus, 349 nucleotides. RefSeq lists it as uncharacterized. The record is from RefSeq and is a predicted model, not a curated record. Lineage: Eukaryota; Metazoa; Chordata; Actinopteri; Cypriniformes; Cobitidae.